This 1049-nucleotide long non-coding RNA is filed under the name Homo sapiens (human). RNAcentral's name for it is "non-protein coding lnc-TMEM144-3:2". The record is from RNAcentral. Lineage: Eukaryota; Metazoa; Chordata; Mammalia; Primates; Hominidae.
AACACAAUCAAGGGACAAACUACAUCGUGUGAGGCCAGCUCAGGCUGCUACUACUCUGUCAUCCUAAGAGAAGAAUCUCUGAAAUUUUGACAGCAUGUGGAAAUAUUCCCACUGAUUAUUGGAUUAUGAAGAUGGAGAAGAGUAUUUUAAAGGAGUUUUGUAGGAGCUGCAGGAGAGGAUUCAGGUAUAUUUAUAUUCAUAGUAUAUGUGUAAUGCUUUGUUCCUGCUCCUUCAUUACUUCUAUUAAGAAGAGACAAGGAGAGAGACAUGGAAAUGACUAAGGCACCAAAGGAAAGGCAUUUUUUACAUUUCAAAGUCACAGGUAAAAAACAUUUAUCAUUUUCAUGUGGAAACAUUCUUCCAAGCUGUAACUAAUAAUGGUCUCUCCUACUAUUUCCUCCCACUUCUGCAGCUGCUAAAACACCUUUGCCACCAGCUCCGACAAUCAAACCAUGCCUUUGGAUUUCUUCAGUUUCUAAAGGGGAACAUCUUUUUAAAGCCUUUGUUGUAUUAAUUAAGAAUCCAGGGCCAAGCCCGUGGCUCAUGCCCAUAAUCCCAGCACUUUGUGAGGCCAAGGCAGGUAGAUCACCUGAGGUCGGGAGUUCGAGACCAGCCUGACCAACAUGGAGAAACCCCGUAUCUAUUAAAAAUACAAAAUUAGCCAGGCAUAGUGGCAUAUGCCUGUAAUCGCAGCUAUUCAGGAGGCCGAGGCAGGAGAAUCGCUUGAAUAUGGGAGGUGGAGGCUGUGGUGAGCCGGGAUCGUGCCAUUGCACUCCAGCCUGGGUGACAAGAGCGAAACUCUGUCACCAAAAAAAAAAAAAAAUUCAGUGGCUGGCAUAGAGUCAAGAAACUCUAUGAACAGAAGAUAACUGACUUAGCAGCAGCAGAGUAAGCCUCCAAAAAGAAGCAAGAUCUUUGAAAGUGGCUGGGAGAGCUCCCAACUGAAUAGGCUUCAGCCUCCCACUGUCAGUACUUAAGGUUCAAAUGCCUCAGGCUGCGGGAGGGGACGGGGUGGAGACUGGCCAUGUCGGAGGUGACCUGGAGUCUGC